This 69-nucleotide transfer RNA is filed under the name Rattus norvegicus (Norway rat). It matches the Rfam family "tRNA". From Rfam's summary of the family: Transfer RNA (tRNA) molecules are approximately 80 nucleotides in length. Their secondary structure includes four short double-helical elements and three loops (D, anti-codon, and T loops). The record is from Rfam by way of RNAcentral. Lineage: Eukaryota; Metazoa; Chordata; Mammalia; Rodentia; Muridae.
GGGGAUUUAGCUCAGUGGUAGAGCACUUGCCUAGCAAAUGUGAGGGCCUGGGUUCGGUCCCCAGCUCCG